ACGCCCCCGUGGUGUGCGAGAGUGCGCCUGCAACCUCUCGAGCCUGAUUCCAUGCUGCCGGGAGCCGAACGCCGCGCUGUUGCGCAGGUCCGCCCGAAGAGCGGAAAGCCUGAAGCGCGUCGCCAGGCGCCCCCCUGAACCCGAGUGGUUCAGAGGUCAUCGCGCACUACGGCGCCAACGGGGUGCGU
RNAcentral lists this non-coding RNA (188 nucleotides) under Gammaproteobacteria bacterium. RNAcentral describes it as "6S RNA". It matches the Rfam family "6S / SsrS RNA". From Rfam's summary of the family: E. coli 6S RNA was the first non coding RNA to be sequenced, but its function was unknown until recently. It consists of 184 nucleotides that fold into an extended hairpin structure with a large single-stranded internal bulge. The record is from RNAcentral. Lineage: Bacteria; Pseudomonadati; Pseudomonadota; Gammaproteobacteria.